AGCUCAGUUGGUAGAGUGCUUGCCUUGCACGCACAAGGCCCUGGGUUCAAUCCCCAG
RNAcentral lists this transfer RNA (57 nucleotides) under Urocitellus parryii (Arctic ground squirrel). RNAcentral describes it as "Spermophilus parryii (Arctic ground squirrel) tRNA". It matches the Rfam family "tRNA", at positions 9 to 63 of the family's 71-position model. From Rfam's summary of the family: Transfer RNA (tRNA) molecules are approximately 80 nucleotides in length. Their secondary structure includes four short double-helical elements and three loops (D, anti-codon, and T loops). Further hydrogen bonds mediate the characteristic L-shaped molecular structure. tRNAs have two regions of fundamental functional importance: the anti-codon, which is responsible for specific mRNA codon recognition, and the 3' end, to which the tRNAs corresponding amino acid is attached (by aminoacyl-tRNA synthetases). tRNAs cope with the degeneracy of the genetic code in two manners: having more than one tRNA (with a specific anti-codon) for a particular amino acid; and 'wobble' base-pairing, i.e. permitting non-standard base-pairing at the 3rd anti-codon position. RNAcentral also lists the same sequence under 3 other names. Lineage: Eukaryota; Metazoa; Chordata; Mammalia; Rodentia; Sciuridae. The record is from Rfam by way of RNAcentral.